UGUGCACUCAUCUGCAGGUAGUGGAGGAAGUUGUCUCGUUUUCCGCUUCAGAUUGUGUUUGUGCCACUCGCUUUUGAAGUGUUCCCUGUAUUGCCUUGUAUCUCCCACAGCUGCAUCACACGUGCUACAUCUAUUCUGUUUAACCUGCUCUUCGCCACUUUCAGUUUCUGUAGAUAUGGUAUGCUUCUGUAUACUCACACCUAGUUGGGCAACAUAUUCGGACUCCUUACUAGACCUCGGUAGAAAAUCGUCAACAUCAUCGAAUUGAUCAACCUGAG
Molecule: unclassified non-coding RNA, 278 nt
Filed under: Hevea brasiliensis (rubber tree)
Lineage: Eukaryota; Viridiplantae; Streptophyta; Magnoliopsida; Malpighiales; Euphorbiaceae
Source: RNAcentral